AACAUUAUCAUGCAAAAAUCACAUUCUUUAUGAGAAACACACCUCAUAAUAGAAACUCUGUAUCAUAAUAGAAAUUGUAGGUUUCCUUGAUGGGAAACAUACUAAUGGUCAGAUACGCAUCAUCAUCCCAGUUUAAGCCUCUACCGCUACCCAUCACUACUAUCUUGUGCAACCUCUCGUCUUUCUUAUUUCACUCGCUUUUCUGGAGUUUGUCUUCACCAGCGGUAGCAAUAAAAGCAAGUCCAGCUCAAUGCUGUCAGCAACCUAAAAAAAGUUUCAUCUCUGAUGGCAUUUCCAGAUGGCUUGGCAAGUUCUCAUGCGCUUUCUAAUCCUUGUAUAUAUAAAAGAACCAACUUUCUAAGACAAGAAUCAGGCUACUCAUGUAUGUACCUUUUAGUCUCUUCCUCAAAUUUUCUUCUAGAUGGUGCAAAUGGAGAUUCCAAAUAAGAAGGCAUGGUAGAACAUAGUUCCACAUUUAUUCGUGAAAAGAAACAUAAAUUUAGAACAAGUGGAGUACCUUUCGAUUCCUCGUGUACAUCAACGGAUGUCGUCUUUUUUACCGUUAAAUUACUCUUUUCCUUCUCUCCCUCCACCCAAUACCUUUGCCUCUCCGCCUCCCUAACGCAAGUUCACCACAUUUUUCAAUGGUGCUUCUUGCUCGCAAUCACACCUUCCAUCUCCAUCUAGACUUUAACCAUGCAUUGAUUUACAUCUCACACAGUUUAACUU
This 729-nucleotide long non-coding RNA is filed under the name Triticum aestivum (bread wheat). Its description in RNAcentral is "long non-coding RNA (TAES_LNC028595)". Lineage: Eukaryota; Viridiplantae; Streptophyta; Magnoliopsida; Poales; Poaceae. The record is from RNAcentral.